RNAcentral lists this transfer RNA (85 nucleotides) under Candidatus Saccharimonadota bacterium. Its description in RNAcentral is "tRNA-Leu". It matches the Rfam family "tRNA". From Rfam's summary of the family: Transfer RNA (tRNA) molecules are approximately 80 nucleotides in length. The record is from RNAcentral. Lineage: Bacteria; Candidatus Saccharimonadota. RNAcentral also lists the same sequence under 1 other name.
GCCGCGGUGGUGGAAUUGGUAGACACGCUAGCCUUAGGAGCUAGUAUCGCAAGAUGUGAAAGUUCGAGUCUUUUCCGCGGCACCA